Molecule: unclassified non-coding RNA, 374 nt
Filed under: Hevea brasiliensis (rubber tree)
Lineage: Eukaryota; Viridiplantae; Streptophyta; Magnoliopsida; Malpighiales; Euphorbiaceae
Source: RNAcentral
GCUUGCACUGUCUACUGCCGCGCAGACUCAGCCUACCUCUGUGCCGGGUGCGAUGCCAGCGUACAUGCUGCCAACCGCGUGGCCUCCCGGCAUGAGCGCGUGUGGGUGUGUGAGGCGUGUGACCGUGCUCCGGCUGCCUUUCUAUGCAAGGCGGAUGCAGCUUCUCUCUGCACUGCCUGUGACGCUGAUAUCCAUUCGGCGAACCCAUUGGCUCGUCGCCACCAACGUGUCCCAAUUCUUCCGAUUUCCGGCUGCGUGUACGGUCCCCAGGUAGCGCCUGCUGCUGGUGAGACGACUGAAGAUAUGUUAACGACCCAGGAGGGAGAAGAGGGAGUUGGUGAUGAGGAGGAAGAUGAAGCAGCCAUGAAGCUGCU